Phalacrocorax carbo (great cormorant) is the source of this 6235-nucleotide non-coding RNA. Lineage: Eukaryota; Metazoa; Chordata; Aves; Suliformes; Phalacrocoracidae. The record is from RefSeq and is a predicted model, not a curated record.
UACUUACUGUAUGUGCUUUGCCUUGCAUGAUACCCUGUAAGCCUCAGCAGCAAAUCCACUACAGGGCAAUAUUCACUGGCUUUUAAAAGGAGUCAGAUUAAUGGCAAAGCUCUGUGAAUAAACCUUUUCUGUUGCCUCUUCCGUCUUAUUUAAGAUUGCUGCCAAAGCCAUCUCUCCUGUCCUGACAAUAGUGAUGAGAUAGACUGAAGAAGUAAGAUUUUAAACAGCCUCAGUGAAAACUCUUUAAUAAGUAAGUCAAGCAAUGAAAAAGCAUUAUUCACGCACCAGGAGAAAGUCAGCAAAAAGAAUUCAAGAUCCUGUAGCCUUCAGUUCUAGAAAACAAGGAAAUGAUUAAGUGCCCAAUCAGCAAUAUAAAAGGAGAAUAAAUGAGACACACCAUUCUUGUUCCUGCUUUAAUGAGCUUUUUGUGGUUUAUAUUUUAUUUAGAAGUCCAACCCAUCAGGAAUUAACAUGUGGCCAAAAAGCCUUCUGAUUCACUACAUAGAAUUAGUUUCCUGUUUUCAAGAGUGAUCUUUUAAGUUUUCCAUUUAGGGGCAAAAUAUUGAUUUUGAGGUUGUUUGGGUUUUUCUUGGUUUCUUUGUGGGGUGGGUAGGGUUUUGUGGCUGGAUGGCAUGCCUACAGUACCUACUCUUCUGUUAUCAUUUGCUAUUUGCAUCGUCGUGUCAGUGGUAUAGUAUUGUAGCACUGUAUGAAGCACAAAGCUCUUCAGGGAUACCCAUGGUAACUCACUGGCUGAAAGCAAAAAGGGGUGUAUUUUCUGUCUGGCUUGAGGUGAAUCAGCAUUUUCUAUAUGAAAUCCAGUUUGCCUGCUGUAUCCUGCAAAGCAUUUGAAGGGAUGAUGAAAGACUAAGAACAGAAUCUUGUGUCUAUAUGAUAGCCAUAUUCCAGCUCUUCUCCCUUGAAUCUUUUUCAUGUCGUACUGUGAGAUGCAUCUUGCAAACCUACAAGUGAAGAACAGGAAUAAGAAUUGUCAUUCUGGCCUAGGAGACACUCACUUCUUUUUGAGAGAUCCAAUCAGAUUUUGAUCCAUGUCUUCUGGCAAAGAUAUAUCAGCUUCCUGUUUCUAUGGCACUUCUGAUCUCAUCCUGGAUGAUGUAGAGCAGCUUCUACUUCGUGCUUCUCCAUGACUGAAAUGUAAAAAUUUAUACUGAAAAUCCAUACCUUGUGAUAGCUGCAUGGAAUGCUCUACCGAACUCUCAGCAGGAAAUGCAGAAGUUAACCCAGUAGUAAUCAAAGUAGUGCAAAGCAUUGACUACAGAAGUGGUGGAUUCCUCACCUGUUGUGACCUUCAUUACUGGAUAGUUCUCUUGGAAACACGGCUUUUAUCAAAGAUAAGUUGUUAUUUUCUGUAUGUCUAACAGUUCCUUGUGGCCUUAGUUUAACAACUACAUGAACAGACAUGCUAUCACCUAGUUGGAGGAGCUGAAUGAGAUGCUUUUGACAAUAAAGGAAUGUGUUUUUUUCAAAAUAUAUUUUAAUUUAAAUUGCUAAAAUUAUAGUACUGGAGUUUACAUGAACUGAAAACUCAGUUUGAGGAAUGGCUUUUUCUAAUCUUUCUAUGUCUUUUGAACUUCAAUAAUUCUGAGACGUUCCUAUGCCAUUUAAUAAACAAGUGACUUAGAAAAGAACAAGAAUAUUCUCAGAAGCAUGUGAAUAACCUAGUUUGUAUUUGUGCAAGCCAUUAGAAAACCUGUUGCUUUAAAAAAACAAACCUAAAAAAAGCAGGAGAUUGCUGUCUUUCAUGUGAUACUAAAAUGUAUGGUUUCCUGUCUGGGGAAAAAAAAAAAAAGUGAUGUCUCAAAAACGUUAUAUCCUGAGUGCUACAGUCACUGAUACAUUGGUUGUUAGGCUAGUGUUGCAUGCUGAGCACCAGGACAGCAGCCCCAUACUAGGGGGUCACACAGGAGUACAGGGGUAGUUUUGGGGCUCUUCUGAUAUUUUCCUUUCCUGCUGCUGCCAUUAUAACAUGCAGUACUGUACAUGAUCAGGGAAAGAGGCUAUUGCUGGGACACAUCAUUGUUAUGAUGAUGCAUUUUAGGCCUUUUUGUACCCCUUUUUAUCCUCAGGUUUCUGAGAGGUUCCAUCUCGAAAGAGAAAGUGCAGCAAGAUCAAGUACAUUCAGUGCGGAUGCUUACUAGUCCAUUCUGUACCAAUCUCCAAACCAGGAAUGCAAUUACAUAUGAUGGACUGAACUCAGUUUCCCACUAUACAGAGGUUUAGGCGACGCUGUGGUGCUGACGGACUCCUUCCACACUAUUUUGAAGUAUAAAGAAAACAAAAAAUUGAGCAUGAAAAGGAGCUAGGCAUGUAUGUUGGAACUCCAUUUACUCCAGGAAGUGUUAGAGGAGUUAAAACAUGAUGUUUUCUCACUCCUAGAAAAGAUGAAGGAAAGACAAGAAAAGGCCUCAUAUGAACCUUGUGCAAAGAUUUAUUAUUAUCGGCCAGGCUUAUCUGAAAUGAACUUUCCUGUUCUUCUGCCAAGCCCAAAUUUAUCCCAUGGCUGCCCUUUUCUAGCCUUGAUGUUAUUUAUGCAUGGCAUUAUAUAUAAACAACGAAGUCCAAUGCCCUCUACAGUCACAGUAAAACUUUUGUAGAUAUGGAAAACAAAGGAUACUACAAAACCAUGUCUCCAGCCUUGCAAUGGGUGCUGAUGUAACAGUGUGUAUCCUAUAGUAUUGUACAGAAAUUCUGCAAAUAUCAUGGUCUUCUGAAGGUUUUCUGUGAGGUAGCUUUAGGUGAAGAUUUGCCAUUUUCAUAUAAAGCUAGAAUCUAAAGAUAAACUGCUCUACCAAAUUCUGUAAGAACAUUAAAUAGAUAAUUUUGGGCAGCGAGGUGUCCUGCAGAAGCUCAGCCACACCACACACUCGUUUGUUUUUGCUUUGGAAGUUUCCAGACUUUAAGUGCUGUGGAUUCAAGUUUGUUCUUCUGAGAAAAUAUUCACAAGAAAUGAAAGUACUUUAUCUAGCUAUCUUAUCUAAUCUUCUGUUGACUUGGGGUCUUUUUAAGUUUUAAAAAGGAUCUGAUUAAGUACAGUGGUAAGAAAUACACAGUCUUCACCAAAACCAUUCCAAAAUAGGUUCAGCCUUCUGGAAAUGCAAGAAGAGGUCCCCUAUGGUUGACCAUAGUGGAUACCAUUUCUUUAGUGAUGGAAGCUUUAGGGAAGAAGUUACUGCUCAUAUUGUUUCUGCUCACAGUUGUUGAUGACAGCUCAGUCUGCUGCUUUUUUUGGCCUAGACAACAGCUCAGUUGAGGGCUACAGAUGCCUGGGGCUCUGGUUUGGUAGACACAAUGCUGAUAAAUAGAACAAAGACUACUGCUCUUUUAAAGACCUUAUUCCGCAGAGGUGAGAAACCACCUUCAGCCUCAUGAAGCCAGUCUCCUUACCCACCGUCCACGGUCUGGUUAAGGCCAAUUUAGGGCCCCAGAAGUGACUGUAAUUUAGAUGUUUUGACUUGGUUUCUGUAGAAGUCUACCUCUUUCUGUUGGCUGUGGAAGGAGUUUCCUCUGGAGCUAAAAUUAACCUCAGAGAACAUCGUUGUACAUACCCAGUCUGGUGGAGAAAACUCUCAGUUUGCAGAAAUAUAUAAGGAUAUAAGAAGUGCUCCAGAUGGAAGCUGUCAUCUGAUGCCCCAGGCAUACCACAGCAUGGGAACUCCCCACAGCUCCCCACUCCUGAACUGUAUAGUCAUCAUAGCACAGAACAGCCUUUUUUUUGUCUCAGAAAUGGAGGCAGUAUGAGGUCCUUUCUGUCUCAAGGAGCGUGACUACACAGGAGGAAUGUGAACUGCCAUCCUGCAGCUUUCAAGUGUUGAACUCAUCAUGACUUUGAAGCAGAAGACUAUGAGUUUGUGAUUUCUUAAAAACAAAAAUUCAAAAAGCUGUUGAAUAACCUCAGAUUUUUUGUAUUGGGUUGUAACUCCUACAGAAGUGGGUGGGUUUCUGGAAGUUAGGAUGUUUAGCACGGGAUUCAUGUUAAUCAAUUUUGGAUCCUCAUGAUGAAGAUGUCUGCAAGGUGAGCUACAUCAUCGCUCAUGAAAUCUGUUAAUUGAAAGAGGUGUUUUUAUUCGUGGACCAGGUGAUGUGUGACAAAAGUCCUUUGGUUGUGCUGAGAAACGAAGCAUGUAAGUGACCAGGUGCAUCACUUUGUACAGUCCCUGUAUCCUAGUUAUCAGAGGAAACCCCAGUUCGGUGGUCAGUUGCCCAUCCUCCCUCCCUUGGCAGCAUUUGAACCCAUAUACUCAGCUCUGGGUGCUUGGACUGGGCCACCUGGCCUUGAAGCAGGACUGUGCUACACACCUAGAGUGGGAGGCUUCACAAAUGUGUGCAUUUGUAAAAGAGAAAACAGCAGCAGAAUGAUGCUGGUAUGAACAUUAUGAAGAAACUCUAUUUCUACUUUGACAUAGCAAUCACAGAAGUAUGGUGGCACUUGGAAGUCCUGCCAACACCCCAACCCAGAGGUCUACAGCAGACUAACCUGCUGCCACAAGAAUAUUUUGGUCUGAACACAAAAGGAGGCUGCAGAAAAGGAAGAUAUACACUCAUUUAGCUGGUAGGGAACUGAGGCCAAGAUAAAUCAAUGUCCCCAAAGCUUGGUGACCUGAGUCACCAAAGGUUAGUUCCACUCUCAGCAGUUUACAGGUCUAUUUCAGCUAAUAUUUCUUUCUCUUACUCACAGAUCUGCAUCAGGAUCACAAUUUUAAGAAUACUGAAAGAAAAUUAGGCAAAACUGUAGAAAGUUUUAUUUCUUACUGAUUUAUUUUUAAUAAAAAUAACUUUUCUGGUGCCUUAGCCACUUGGCUUAUUAUGAGGUCUUAUUCUGUUGUCAUAACUGCACUCAUGAAAUUUUUACUAGUAUUUGAACUAAGCCUAGUUACAGUGGUACUUUUACUGCAUCAUAAAUUACUCUUAUAUGGAAUGAACUUAAUUAGAUUAAAUGAGCAAAGGAAGACUCUGUGGUGCCAGAUCAUCUCUCAUGAACUUUUGUGUAUUUGUGCAGUUAAUCUCUUCAUUGGAUUUUUAUAAGGAAUGUUUGCAUAUUUAUCCAGGUUACUUGUUUUCUGCUGUAGUCAUGACCACUCUUUUCUCUGUACAUUUCUAGAGCUCUGUUGAACCCUAUAUAUAUUUCUGUGCUUGGAAAACAUGGAAACAAACAAACCUUAUGGAAAAUAACAAUAUACAGAACAUAUCAUGUGACAAACUCUGUUAAAUUAGUACUUGGGUCAUUGCUAUCUGACAAAACUGCUUCUGUGAAUAGUUGCAUUUUUCAUUCUUCAUUCAUUGGGCAGGGAAAGAAUGACUGAAAAUGCUACUAGCGGGGCUGGAUUCCCUCCAGCGAGUGAGGCCAUUGUUUGCAAAACCUUACUAGGCACAGUGCAUGGUGGCACUCAACCAGAGCAAGGGACUUGUAGGAUUUAUGCAACGAUGUGGAAUUUUCCACUGUCCAAGAGAAGUUCGCAAUCCUACAGCAGCAUAUUUUGGUAGGGGACCAUAAAAAUAACAUCAUGAUGGGUUGAGUAACAUUCCACUAAAGGUUAAUGUAACUACUAGGAAAAACCCUCUGCUAAUUACAGACUUUCCUGUGUUUUAAAGCUGUCAAAAUCACAUUGCUUUCAGAAACACAACUGAAGCUCAGUUAACAUAGUCUGUUAUUUGGGUGUAUGCGACAACUUGACUCAGCUCUAGUGCCCUCUGAAAUAUAUGUAAAGCAAUGGUUUUCCUGCCUCAUGGGUGAAGGAUGAGAGCUUGGCAGGGCCUAAGGUGCUUCUGUUACUGAAAAGAAAGGGAUGGGAGCAAAACAGAGGGCUGAGAAUGGGUGCAAAAUGGAGAGAGCAGAGAUUGCUGCAGCCACUGCUUCUGCUGGCUGGAGGCAGGGGUGGACCACAGCAUUGUCUCCCUAACCUCUUCCCAUCACCCCAUGUACCCCCAGCCCUCUCAGCUUUCCAGAGCUCAGGCUUAGGUAAAACAGGCAUGGGAAGCUUCCCACAGCAGCCUUCAAUAACUGCCUAGUUCAAGUCUUUAAGCACUUAUUAAACACAGUGGAGGGCCUAGUUCAUAAAAAAAGCAUUUAUUCUGCAGUGUAAGACCUAGUCUUGAUGAACUAAGACUUAAAUAAACAGGCUAAGCAGAAAAAAAUGCAUCACAAGCAAAUGCUGUGGCUUACUUCUGAGCAGUUUUCUUGCAGUCCAGACACUGCAAUACAUUAAAAUAAAAGUGC